This 70-nucleotide transfer RNA is filed under the name Plestiodon brevirostris (shortnose skink). Its description in RNAcentral is "tRNA-Gln". It matches the Rfam family "tRNA". Rfam says of the family: Transfer RNA (tRNA) molecules are approximately 80 nucleotides in length. Their secondary structure includes four short double-helical elements and three loops (D, anti-codon, and T loops). Further hydrogen bonds mediate the characteristic L-shaped molecular structure. tRNAs have two regions of fundamental functional importance: the anti-codon, which is responsible for specific mRNA codon recognition, and the 3' end, to which the tRNAs corresponding amino acid is attached (by aminoacyl-tRNA synthetases). tRNAs cope with the degeneracy of the genetic code in two manners: having more than one tRNA (with a specific anti-codon) for a particular amino acid; and 'wobble' base-pairing, i.e. permitting non-standard base-pairing at the 3rd anti-codon position. Lineage: Eukaryota; Metazoa; Chordata; Lepidosauria; Squamata; Scincidae. The record is from RNAcentral.
UAGAGAAUAGUAUAGUGGAGGUACGCGGGGUUUUGAGCUCCUUAGUACAGGUUCGAGUCCCUUUUUUCUA